ACCUCAUUUAUGGGUUGGUAGUGGAGGCAAGUGCAUCUCUUACUAGAGAUUUCUUUCUACUUGAGGCCUUUUAAAGGUCUUUCUGAGACUUACCCAGGCAAUCCUCCAGCUUCCAUUACAUUGGCUAAAGUAACAUCAUUUGACCAGACAUCGUAUUGCCAUUUUCGGAGACCUAGGACCCCACAAAGCACCCUUCCUUACUUUCCCCAAAGUUAAUAAAUAUACACAUGAUUCAAGAAAUGACUUUAUUAGGAAUACAGGACAGAAACAUGAUGAAACUACUAAAUUGGUGCAAAAUCAGUAGAAGAGUGAUAAUAAACAUUCAUGUACUCCCAAAGCCCUGAGAAGAGUGGCAUAGAAAUCACCUCUAACUAUGGCUGACUAUGGACCACAACUUAUGAAUUAAAGCUAAACUUCUGAGAUUUUCAUUGUAUACCUGGAAGAGGAGGAAUUAAUUGGUGAAAUCAUUAUUGACAGAGCUUUGAUUUUGACGCCACUAUAAGGGAGGAUUCUUUGUGAAGUACAUUCUCACUCUGCAGUGACCUGUGAAUGUUGAAAAGGAUUCCUGAAACUAAUAAUUUUACAUAGUUCAUGAAGAGAUAAUGUUGUGCAUAAAUCUUUGCAGUUUGUCCUGCUACAAAGGCAUGUGGAAUUUCACAUUUAAGUUGCAGUUCAAAAGCAGACAUAAUGAGAAAAUAAAAAAGCUACCUAAUUUAUGUAAUAUUUAAUUUUCUGUAGGUUUCUAAAUUAAAACUUUCCAAGGGAUUUCAUAGAAGUCCUUAAACUCAUACUCUGGCUAUAUUUUAUCCUUACCUUUCAUUGGCCAGCAUGUUUUUAAAAAUAUCAUCAAGCCACAAGAGAUGGAGAUCUUUAGAAAAACUUUGCGGCUGUUUUAGGGGUAGCAAUCAUAUUUAUUUCUUGUACAGCUGUACUUUAAAAGGUACAGUUAAUUGAAAGGGCAUGUGCAGCAUAGGACAAGAUGAGAUGCGUUACGGCACUAUACUCCUGGCAUCAAUUUAAGAAGCUCUGCAGCCUUGGAUUGCUGCAGAACUACAUGCUGUGUCGGCCCUCACUAAUGCAGGUAACUGUAGAAAUCUAUUGUCACCAUAGGAAAUCUAGGCCUGACACAAUUUUUAGUCAUAUUUAAUACAACAGCAGAGAGAGACUUAUGCACAGCUUUCUAAUAGAUUAAGUAUUUCCUUGUCCUAUUUCUAUCUACUGAAAGUUGACCUUUCAUUAUACAGUAUCUGCUUGCAGGCAAACCUUAAAUACGACUCCAAGGAAUUAUUAUCAUUGUUACACUUCUUAUGUUCACUGUGUGCUUGGCAAAGCCCCAAGGAAAUAAAGGAGAUAAUGAGACAAGCCACCUAAUGAUAACUUUGUCUUCACUGUGCACAUGCACUGUGCCAUUCACUGAGUGAGCUUAUACUAAGACCAUAGCAUGUAGCCUGCAAGCCAAAUCAUUUCAGGACUAAGGCUUGCUCACUUGUGUAUGUUCUGCUGGCUAACUAAAGUAGUAUUUAAUUCAUAGAGUCAUAGAAUAACCGAAGUUGGAAAAGACCCUCAGGAUUACUCAGUCCAACCGUCCACUGAUCACCAAUAGCCAAACAAUGGCUGAACCAUGUCCCUCAACACAAGUCCAAAUGUUCCUUGAACACCUCCAGGGUCAGUGACUCCACCAGCUCCCUGUGCAGCCCAGUCCAGAGCCUGACCACUCUUUCAGAGAAGUAGUAUUUCCUAACAUCCAGCCUGAAUCGACACUGGUACAUCUUGAAGCCACUUCACCACCAUACCUACAAUAGUGUGAGUUUUCCUAGAAGCAGAUUAACAUUAAAAAACCUUUUCAUUUAAAAUAGUCUAUAAAAUAUCAUGGUACAUGAAAAUACAAUGCAGUUGCAGUGACCAAA
Molecule: long non-coding RNA, 1907 nt
Organism: Tympanuchus pallidicinctus (lesser prairie-chicken)
Lineage: Eukaryota; Metazoa; Chordata; Aves; Galliformes; Phasianidae
Exons: 3
Source: RefSeq, a predicted model, not a curated record